Non-coding RNA from Cebus imitator (Panamanian white-faced capuchin), 2273 nucleotides. Lineage: Eukaryota; Metazoa; Chordata; Mammalia; Primates; Cebidae. The record is from the annotation of a RefSeq genome assembly.
AAUUAUCACUUAAACCAGCUGUUUAUCCAAUAUGAGGCUCAAAACAAAUAGUUUCAAAAAGUCAGUAGGUCAUUAAAAAUUUUUUUAGUCAUUCAAAACAAUCAGAUAACACCACCAUAUAACACUUAAAUCGCAUUAUAGUCACAGCAGCAGAAUUUCAGCAACAGCAAGACAAAGUAAUACAAAUAGGAAUGAGCAAAGAGUAGACAAAUAAUGGGUAUGAAUUGGCCUGGGAUAUAUUAUGGCAAUGUCAAAAUAUAAAUCAAUUGUGAUUUGUUAAAUAAGUGAAAACUAUGCAUUCUCAGUCCAUGAAAGUCACCAGGGGGCCCUCUGGGUCUCUUGAAUUUUAAGAAGCUCAAGAGGUUGAGAGUUAAUGAACCCUGCACAGUUGCUAACUGACUCAUGUAAAUGUUAGGCCGGCUGCUUCCUCCCACAGGGCAAAUCCACAGCACACAGCCACCCUGGGCUGGCGUCUCACAGUGUAGCUGCUCUUGGCGCUGAGACCUAGGUGGAGGUAAAGGUAGCUAAGAUUUGCAUAAAGCAGCACACAACACACCCCCUCCAUGCAGAGCUCAGUAGGAGAUAAAGAGCCAUCAGAAUCCAGCCCCAGCUCUGGAGCCAAGGGUCCCUUCCAUUAUCAGCGCCAUGGCCUGGACUCCUCUCUUUCUCCUGUUUCUCUCCACUUGCUGCCCAGGGUCCAACUCCCAGGCUGUGGUGACUCAGGAGCCCUCACUGACUGUGUCCCCAGGAGGGACAGUCACUCUCACCUGUGCUUCCAGCACUGGAGCAGUCACCAGUAGUAAUUAUCCCUACUGGUUCCAGCAGAAGCCUGGCCAAGCCCCCAGAACACUGAUUUAUGAUACAAGCAACAAACACUCCUGGACCCCGGCCCGGUUCUCAGGCUCCCUCCUUGGGGGCAAAGCGGCCCUGACCCUCUCAGGUGCACAGCCUGAGGACGAGGCUGAGUACUACUGCUCAGUGUACUAUAGUGGUACUCAGCACAGUGACAGACUCAGAAGAGGAACCAAGACAUAAACCUCCCUUGGCCCUUGCGAUGUGAAGAUCACGUGAUCACACACACCAGCUCUCAAGUCAGCCUACACGCGGACCAGCCAUAGAAAGGGGAAGGGAAGGGUCUGAAUGGAUUUCUAUCCCUGCUUAAGCCCUGAAGUGGAAUAAAUGUUUGAAUGAUCUGGGAAUAACUGGAUCAAAAGAAGCAAAAAUUAAUUGUUUUAUAUUCUACAAAGAACACUAACAGUUGGAUCAGAUCUAAAGGCUGAGUCUAAAUGUAUUUCCUCCAGGAAGAAGCAUCUUUAAUGUGUGGGCUUUUUGAAAUAGGAGCAAAGGGAAGAAGUUCCUUUUUUUCUUCUUUUUUUGGUAUAUUUCUGAAGUUUGCUUAAUUGAGUUACUUUCAAAGCAAUACAUGCCAAUUAUAUAAAAUAAAAAUAUUACAAGCCACCAAAUUCAUUGCAUAUCUACCUUAUCCCAAACAAUCAACAUAAGUACAUUUCUUCCUGUGGAUACAUUCUUUCAUUUUUGUUCUCAAUAUUUCCACAAAGGUGAUCAUAUUUUGUGCUUUUCCCUCUCGUUUGAUGCAUCUUUAUGCUCCUAUGUCAUUUAUGGUUAAUAUAAGUAGUAUUCCACUUCUUAAAAAUGAUAAGAUGUUUGAAUAUUUGUUAAUUUUAUUUUGACUUGAGCACCAAUGAAAAAAUAUAGUUUUAUAGAUAAUUCCAAUGGUUUUCUUAUCAGACAAAAGCGUGACAUUGUGUUCUUACUAAGAAACACCAGAUUAUUUCUGUGGAUUUAAUGAAGUGAGGGAAAAUGCCUGCAAUUUUCAGUGGAAAGCCUUGAGUACACUAUGCCUGAUUUCAGAAUGCACAACAUAGACAAACAAGAGUUUCCAGCUCAGGUUUGCUGGAUCAUAAUAGGUUUGGUUAUGAGGAACAAUGUAUACGCAAAACUAUAUCAAUGUCUUCAUGCAUGUGUUAGAACACUCCAUCGCAAACUCAAUUGUUUAUCCUCAUCCCCACAAAUUAUCUGGGAUCCUACAAAAAGCAGAUUCUGAUUGAAUAGGUAUGAAAUGAUGAUGCAGUCCCUGCGUUUCCAAAAUCUUCCUGCCACAGAAAAUCCACAUAUGUGUUUUAAUAAUAACAAGUCCAGCCAGGAGCAGAGGCUCACGUGUGUAAUCCUAGCACUUUGAGAGGCUGAGGCAGAAGGAUUACUUGAGGCCAAAAGUUUGAGACUAACAAUGAUUAACAGAGCAAGAUCUUUUC